RNAcentral lists this ribosomal RNA (329 nucleotides) under uncultured eukaryote. RNAcentral's name for it is "partial 18S ribosomal RNA". It matches the Rfam family "Eukaryotic small subunit ribosomal RNA", at positions 1470 to 1796 of the family's 1831-position model. The record is from RNAcentral.
CCCUUAGAUGUCCUGGGCCGCACGCGCGCUACACUGAGUGUCUGAGAUACGAGUCUGCCUGGUCCGGCAAGGUUUAGGUAAUCACUAAAAGACACAUCAUGCUUGGGAUAGAUUAUUGCAAAUAUUAAUCUUGAACGAGGAAUUCCUAGUAAGCGCAAGUCAACAGCUUGCGUUGAUUACGUCCCUGCCCUUUGUACACACCGCCCGUCGCUACUACUGAUUGGAUGUUUAAGCGAGGUUCUCGAACUGCUAGCGACUUAGCUUCGGUGAGGUCGCAGUGUGGGAAGUGAACCUAGCUUUGGUGUCUAGAGGAAGUAAAAGUCGUAACA